AGACGGGUCGUCCAAUGGCAGGACUUGGGACUUUGGAUCCCACUAUCCAGGUUCGAAUCCUGGCCCGUCUGCCA
This 74-nucleotide transfer RNA is filed under the name Deltaproteobacteria bacterium. RNAcentral's name for it is "tRNA-Gln". It matches the Rfam family "tRNA". From Rfam's summary of the family: Transfer RNA (tRNA) molecules are approximately 80 nucleotides in length. The record is from RNAcentral. Lineage: Bacteria; Pseudomonadati; Myxococcota; Myxococcia.